This is a long non-coding RNA of Salvia miltiorrhiza (redroot sage), 1251 nucleotides long. RefSeq lists it as uncharacterized. The transcript is spliced from 4 exons. The record is from RefSeq and is a predicted model, not a curated record. NCBI's taxonomy places the organism in Eukaryota, Viridiplantae, Streptophyta, Magnoliopsida, Lamiales, Lamiaceae.
AAAUAUCCUAAAUGUUCACGUCUCCCUAAAAAUUCCCCCAAACUCUAACCCUUUCCCUUUCUCCUCUUUGAAAACCGCCACCGCCCUCUGCUCCUUUCUCUCUAACCUUUCUUCUUCACAUUAUCAUUAACUCUCCAUAAUCAACUUUAAGCUUAACCUUCACUUCCACGCCUCACUCUCUCUUUUAUCUUCUAGCUUCAUCGCAAAGAUAAUGCACAGGUUGCACUGCCCUUGAUGAAAUCGGGCCCCAAACGAGCAUGUUAAUGGUGGGUAUGUCGCUAGAUUUGUCAUCCGACCUCGUCCUGCCAUUGUUGAUUUUCAAUUUAGGUCCAAUAAAUUCUACAAAGCUCAUUCUUUAUUGAUUUAAUGAAUAUACGUUCUUUGAUUUUUGCAAGUGAGCAUGAUUGGUGUUGUUAGUGUGAUGUUUUUUGAGUGUAUGCUUUCUUGUGAGGUGUCAUCGCCGACCUCUUCUCUCUCCCUAUGCCUCGGUCGCUGCUGUCACCGGGCACGCAGUGGCGGCGGGGUUGAUCCUCGCAAUGACCCACGACUACGUUGUGAUGAAGAAAUUGAGAGUAGUGUUGUACCUGAGCGAGCUCGACAUUGGCAUGAGCCUACGGAUUUCUUUACAGCUCUGAUCAAGGAAAAAGUAAGCUCCAACGCUGCGCGGCGGGAGCUGGCACUCCGUACGGCGAAGGUCGACGCAGAGGCGGUGGUGCGGAUGGGGAUUAUCGAUGCGGCGUAUGAUAGCGCAGAGGAUGUGGCAGCGGCAGCGGUGCAAACGACAGCGUAUCUUAUUCGUCAUGCCGUCUAAUCUUUAACAAGGUUAGUUUUACAAAAUCCACUUAAGUGGGUCAUCCUAUAAUGCAAGCUGCAAUACAAAGAAAUUUGAAAGUGUUGUUUCCUUGAAGCUGGAACGAAUGAGUAGUAUAUUCAAAUAACAAUAUUCAUAUACAGGUGUCGGUUGGAGUCGUCAGCGAAAUGUCAGAUACUUGGACUCUAGAUCUUAGCAAAGCGUUCCCGCAAGAAAAAUUUGAAGAAUGCAACGAAGCUACCUACUUAUAGCUUUGAAACAAGGAAUUUUAUUCCUUACCAACGACCUUUGUCUAAUUUUCUUUUAGAAAUUUGGUAGAAUUUAGAGCUUUUUUUGUUAGCAACAAAACAAUACAGUUUAAUACUUUCUUGUUUAUUGGUCUUUGUAAUGAAGUUUUAUUUCAUAUUUGAAAUGAAUGAAGUAUUGGUGUUAUUAUUAAA